AUGGUCACCUACAAACUGGUGCUCAUCCAGCACGGUGAGAGCGCCUGGAACCUGGAGAACCGCCUCAGAGGCUGGUAUGAUGCCAACUAGAGGCCUGCGGGCCACGAAGAGGCGAAGCACAUAGGGCAGGCUCUGCGAGAUGCUCGCUACGAUUUUGGUAUCUGCUUCACCUCAGUGCAGAAAAGAGCAAUCCGGACUCUCUGGACAGUACUGGAUGCCACUGACCAGAUGUGGCUGCCGGUGGUGAGAACUUGGCGUCUCAAUGAGCGGCACUAUGGGGACUGACUGGCCUUAAUAAAGCAGAGACGGCUGCCAAACACUGGGAGGCCCGGGUGACGAUCUGCCGGCGCUCCGACGAUGUCCCACCACCCCGAUGGAGCCUGACCACCCCUUCUACAGCAACAUCAGCAAGGAUCGUAGGUACGCAGACCUCCCUGAAGAUCAGCUGCCUUCCUGUGAGAGUCUGAAAGACACUAUUGCCAGAGCUCUGCCCUUCUGGAAUGAAGAAAUUGUCCCCCAGAUCAAGGAGGGGGAAAAGGUGUUGAUUGCAGACCACGGCAACAGCCCUUGGGGUAUAGUCAAGCAUCUGGAAGGUCUCUCUGAAGAAGCCAUCAUGGAGCUGAACCUGCCAACUGGUAUUCCAAUUUUCUAUGAGUUAGAUAAGUACUUAAAACCCAUCAAGUCCAUGCAGUUCCUAGGGGAUGAAGAGACUGUGCGCAAAGCUGUGGAAGCUGUGGCCAGGGCAAGGCCAAGAAGUGAAGACCACCAGCAGCCUGCUCCCACCCACCCACCCUCCACACCUCUCCCCACCUGUCACACUGACCACAUCUGUAGGCGUCCUGUGUUGUAG
Octodon degus (degu) is the source of this 850-nucleotide RNA transcript. It is a transcript of the gene named phosphoglycerate mutase 1 pseudogene, with no coding region annotated. Lineage: Eukaryota; Metazoa; Chordata; Mammalia; Rodentia; Octodontidae. The record is from RefSeq and is a predicted model, not a curated record. The transcript has a single exon.